UACGUAGGGAGCAAGCGUUGUCCGGAAUUACUGGGCGUAAAGGGUGCGUAGGCGGCUUAUCAAGUCACAAGUGAAAUAUCCGGGCUUAACCCGGGGAGGUCUUGUGAAACUGGUAGGCUUGAGUUCGGGAGAGGAAAGUGGAAUUCCUAGUGUAGCGGUGGAAUGCGUAGAUAUUAGGAGGAACACCAGUGGCGAAGGCGACUUUCUGGACCGACACUGACGCUGAGGCACGAAAGCGUGGGGAGCAAACAGG
This 253-nucleotide ribosomal RNA is filed under the name uncultured bacterium. RNAcentral's name for it is "partial 16S ribosomal RNA". It matches the Rfam family "Bacterial small subunit ribosomal RNA", at positions 524 to 776 of the family's 1533-position model. The record is from RNAcentral.